ACACCUUAUUUAAAGAAAAUAUGUAAUUAUAUAAAUGUGAGGAUAGAUAUGGUGGUUCCUUGUAUCGUACUUUACUAGUUGGAUAUCUGUGGCAAUUCUAGAGUUACUCUGGAGACGAGCGCUAUUAUUAUACCAAAGUCAAUCAGACCUUGUAUCCAUAUUAUAUGGUGACUCUGUGUAACUUUGGGCUGAUCGAUCAGGCUCGUCCCGGCGACAUAUUUUUCAAAUGCCUGCGUUAUCGACUGUCGACGCCUACCAUGGUCGCAAAGGGUGACGGGAAAUCAGAGCUCGAUUCCUGAGAAGGAGCCUGAGAAACUGCUACCACAUCCAAGAAAGGCAGCAAGCGCGCAAAUUACUCACUCCUAGAAUAGGGAGGUAAUGACAAAAAAAAUAACAAUACGGGACUCUUUUGAGACUUCUAUAACUGGAAUAAGUACAUUCUAAAUCCUUGAAUGAGGAUCAAUUGGAGGGCACGUCUGGUGCCAGCAGCCGCGGUAAUUCCAGCUUCAGUAGUGU
Molecule: non-coding RNA, 516 nt
Filed under: Stegodyphus mimosarum
Lineage: Eukaryota; Metazoa; Arthropoda; Arachnida; Araneae; Eresidae
Description: eukaryotic small subunit ribosomal RNA
Rfam family: Eukaryotic small subunit ribosomal RNA
Source: Rfam by way of RNAcentral